ACGGAAGGCAGCAGUCGGGAAUAUUGCGCAAUGGAGGAAACUCUGACGCAGUGACGCCGCGUAUGGGAAGAAGGUUUUCGGAUUGUAAACCAUUGUCGUUAGGGAAGAAAAAUGACAGUACCUAAGGAGGAAGCACCGGCUAACUAUGUGCCAGCAGCCGCGGUAAUACAUAGGGUGCAAGCGUUAUCCGGAUUUAUUGGGUGUAAAGGGUGCGUAGACGGGAAUUUAAGUUGGUUGUGAAAUCCCUCGGCUCAACUGAGGAACUGCAACCAAAACUGGAUUUCUUGAGUGUUGGAGAGGAAAGUGGAAUUCCUAGUGUAGCGGUGAAAUGCGUAGAUAUUAGGAGGAACACCAGUGGCGAAGGCGGCUUUCUGGACUGUAACUGACACUGAGGCUCGAAAGCGUGGGGAGCAAACAGGAUUAGAUACCCUGGUA
This is a ribosomal RNA of 435 nucleotides. It matches the Rfam family "Bacterial small subunit ribosomal RNA", at positions 341 to 792 of the family's 1533-position model.